GAUGAACGCUAGCGGCAGGCCUAAUACAUGCAAGACGAACGGUAAGUUAGAUAGCAAUAUUUAACCAAGAGUGUCGUAAGGGUGCGUAACACGUAUGCAAUCUGCCCUCAACAGGAGUAUAGCUCGGGGAAACUCGGAUUAACACUCCAUAGGAUCUUAGGGCGGCAUCGCCUAGAGAUUAAAACUGAGGUGGUUGAGGAUGAGCAUGCGCAUGAUUAGCUAGUUGGUAGGGUAAUGGCCUACCAAGGCGAUGAUCAUUAGGGGAACUGAGAGGUUGAUCCCCCACACUGGCACUGAGAUACGGGCCAGACUCCUACGGGAGGCAGCAGUAGGGAAUAUUGGUCAAUGGGUGAGAGCCUGAACCAGCCAUGCCGCGUGCAGGAAGACGGCCUUCUGAGUUGUAAACUGCUUUUAUCUGUGGAUAAAAAGCUCAUGCGUGAGUAAUUGAAGGUACCAGAUGAAUAAGCACCGG
RNAcentral lists this ribosomal RNA (472 nucleotides) under uncultured bacterium. Its description in RNAcentral is "bacterial SSU rRNA". It matches the Rfam family "Bacterial small subunit ribosomal RNA", at positions 28 to 496 of the family's 1533-position model. The record is from RNAcentral.